Molecule: unclassified non-coding RNA, 2430 nt
Filed under: Hevea brasiliensis (rubber tree)
Lineage: Eukaryota; Viridiplantae; Streptophyta; Magnoliopsida; Malpighiales; Euphorbiaceae
Source: RNAcentral
CCUCACUAUACCAUUCUCCAUCACUUUGAUACCCAAAAGCAACCAAACCCCUUUUGCUUUUUCUCCUCAAAAUUCCAAUCUUUAGAACCUUAUCAGCAAAAUUCCCAUCUUUCACUCUCAUCUCACAUGAACCCUUCAAGGGUUAAGCAUUCAGGUGAACCAGAUCUGAGGUUGUGAAUGAUUUUGGGAGUUUUUGGGGUUGUCCUUCAUGAGGUUCUUUUUAAACCUUAAGUUAGAAUUAGGGUAAAACAAACUUAGAUUGUGUUGUAUAUGAAGUUUCUUGAGUAGUAGUGUAGUUUUGAGUUGUUUCUGAGAGAUAUUACUUAGGACAUUUGGCUUAAUUGUGGUGGAGAAGUGGAAAGGUUUGAAAAUGCAGAGACCACCUCAAGAAGAUUUUUCAUUAAAGGAGACCAAACCCCACCUUGGUGGAGGGAAGGUUACGGGUGAUAAGCUUACUAGCACCUAUGACUUGGUUGAGCAAAUGCAGUAUCUUUAUGUUCGGGUGGUUAAAGCAAAGGAUUUACCAGGGAAGGAUGUUACGGGUAGUCUUGAUCCUUAUGUUGAGGUUAGGCUGGGAAACUAUCGGGGUACAACUCGUCAUUUCGAGAAGAAAUCGAAUCCUGAAUGGAAUCAGGUGUUUGCUUUUUCCAAGGAGCGGAUUCAGGCUUCUGUACUUGAGGUGAAUGUGAAAGAUAAGGAUUUUAUUAAGGAUGAUUUUGUUGGUCGUGUUAUGUUUGAUUUGAAUGAGAUCCCUAAAAGAGUUCCCCCGGACAGUCCUCUUGCUCCGCAGUGGUAUAGGUUGGAGGAUAGAAGUGGUAACAAAGUGAAAGGAGAGUUGAUGUUGGCUGUUUGGAUGGGUACUCAAGCUGAUGAAGCCUUUCCUGAAUCUUGGCAUUCGGAUGCGGCUACUGUUAGUGGUGCUGAUGCUCUUGCAAAUAUAAGGUCUAAGGUGUACCUCUCACCAAAGCUGUGGUACCUUAGAGUUAAUGUGAUUGAGGCUCAGGACUUGAUUCCCAGUGACAGAAGUAGGUUUCCAGAGGUUUACGUGAAGGCCAUCCUGGGAAAUCAGGCAUUGAGAACCAGAGUUUCCAUGAGCAAGACUAUUAAUCCCAUGUGGAAUGAGGAUCUGAUGUUUGUAGCAGCAGAACCAUUCGAGGAGCCAUUAAUUUUGAGUGUGGAAGAUAGAGUUACUGCAGCAAACAAGGAUGAAGUACUUGGAAGAUGUGUUAUUCCUUUGCAGUAUAUUGAUAGGAGGUUUGACCACAGACCUAUUAACAGUAGGUGGUAUAAUCUUGAAAAGCACAUUAUUGUUGAGGGAGAAAAGAAGAAAGAAAUCAAAUUUGCUAGCAGGAUUCACAUGAGGCUUUAUUUAGAAGGAGGGUACCAUGUACUGGAUGAAUCAACACACUACAGCAGUGAUCUUAGACCAACUGCAAAGCAGCUGUGGAAGUCCAGUAUAGGUGUCCUAGAAUUGGGUAUUCUGAAUGCUCAGGGCCUUUCGCCGAUGAAAACAAAGGAUAAUCGGGCAACGACAGAUGCCUAUUGUGUUGCGAAAUAUGGGCAGAAGUGGGUCCGAACGAGGACCAUUAUAGAUAGCUUUGCUCCCAAGUGGAACGAGCAAUACACUUGGGAAGUAUUUGAUCCCUGCACUGUCAUAACUAUUGGUGUAUUUGAUAAUUGUCAUCUGCAUGGAGGAGAUAAACCUGGAGGGUCUAGGGACUCGAGGAUUGGAAAGGUCAGAAUCCGUCUUUCAACUCUCGAAACAGAUCGUGUUUACACACAUUCUUAUCCACUGCUGGUCUUGCAUCCUACUGGGGUAAAGAAGAUGGGUGAAAUUCACUUGGCAGUAAGAUUUACUUGCUCAUCGUUAAUGAAUAUGAUGCAUAUGUACUCUCAGCCACUGUUACCCAAAAUGCACUAUAUUCAUCCUUUAACUGUUACUCAGCUGGACAGCUUGAGGCAUCAGGCCACUCAGAUUGUCUCUAUGAGGCUGAGUCGUGCUGAGCCACCUUUGAGGAAAGAGAUAGUGGAGUAUAUGUUAGAUGUUGGUUCUCACAUGUGGAGUAUGAGGAGAAGCAAAGCUAAUUUUUUUAGGAUUAUGGGUGUUUUAGGUGGAUUAAUAGCUAUUGGAAGAUGGUUUGAUCAAAUAUGCAACUGGAAAAAUCCCAUCACAACUGUUCUUAUCCAUAUCUUGUUCUUGAUACUGGUUCUAUAUCCGGAGCUUAUUCUGCCAACCAUUUUCCUAUAUCUCUUCCUAAUUGGAGUUUGGUACUACAGAUGGAGGCCUAGGCAUCCUCCUCACAUGGAUACUCGUCUUUCUUGUGCUGAUAAUGCUCAUCCUGAUGAACUGGAUGAGGAAUUUGACACUUUCCCUACUUCACGUCCUCCUGAUAUUGUUCGUAUGAGGUAUGACCGUUUGAGAAGCAUUGC